Molecule: ribosomal RNA, 253 nt
Filed under: uncultured bacterium
Lineage: Bacteria
Description: partial 16S ribosomal RNA
Rfam family: Bacterial small subunit ribosomal RNA
Source: RNAcentral
UACGAAGGGGGCUAGCGUUGUUCGGAUUUACUGGGCGUAAAGCGCACGUAGGCGGAUUGUUAAGUCGGGGGUGAAAUCCUGGAGCUCAACUCCAGAACUGCCUUCGAUACUGGCGAUCUUGAGUCCGGGAGAGGUGAGUGGAACUCCGAGUGUAGAGGUGAAAUUCGUAGAUAUUCGGAAGAACACCAGUGGCGAAGGCGGCUCACUGGCCCGGUACUGACGCUGAGGUGCGAAAGCGUGGGGAGCAAACAGG